GUUAAGCGACUAAGCGUACACGGUGGAUGCCCUGGCAGUCAGAGGCGAUGAAGGACGUGCUAAUCUGCGAUAAGCGUCGGUAAGGUGAUAUGAACCGUUAUAACCGGCGAUUUCCGAAUGGGGAAACCCAGUGUGUUUCGACACACUAUCAUUAACUGAAUCCAUAGGUUAAUGAGGCGAACCGGGGGAACUGAAACAUCUAAGUACCCCGAGGAAAAGAAAUCAACCGAGAUUCCCCCAGUAGCGGCGAGCGAACGGGGAGCAGCCCAGAGCCUGAAUCAGUGUGUGUGUUAGUGGAAGCGUCUGGAAAGGCGCGCGAUACAGGGUGACAGCCCCGUACACAAAAAUGCACAUGCUGUGAGCUCGAUGAGUAGGGCGGGACACGUGGUAUCCUGUCUGAAUAUGGGGGGACCAUCCUCCAAGGCUAAAUACUCCUGACUGACCGAUAGUGAACCAGUACCGUGAGGGAAAGGCGAAAAGAACCCCGGCGAGGGGAGUGAAAAAGAACCUGAAACCGUGUACGUACAAGCAGUGGGAGCACGCUUAGGCGUGUGACUGCGUACCUUUUGUAUAAUGGGUCAGCGACUUAUAUUCUGUAGCAAGGUUAACCGAAUAGGGGAGCCGAAGGGAAACCGAGUCUUAACUGGGCGUUAAGUUGCAGGGUAUAGACCCGAAACCCGGUGAUCUAGCCAUGGGCAGGUUGAAGGUUGGGUAACACUAACUGGAGGACCGAACCGACUAAUGUUGAAAAAUUAGCGGAUGACUUGUGGCUGGGGGUGAAAGGCCAAUCAAACCGGGAGAUAGCUGGUUCUCCCCGAAAGCUAUUUAGGUAGCGCCUCGUGAAUUCAUCUCCGGGGGUAGAGCACUGUUUCGGCAAGGGGGUCAUCCCGACUUACCAACCCGAUGCAAACUGCGAAUACCGGAGAAUGUUAUCACGGGAGACACACGGCGGGUGCUAACGUCCGUCGUGAAGAGGGAAACAACCCAGACCGCCAGCUAAGGUCCCAAAGUCAUGGUUAAGUGGGAAACGAUGUGGGAAGGCCCAGACAGCCAGGAUGUUGGCUUAGAAGCAGCCAUCAUUUAAAGAAAGCGUAAUAGCUCACUGGUCGAGUCGGCCUGCGCGGAAGAUGUAACGGGGCUAAACCAUGCACCGAAGCUGCGGCAGCGACGCUGAUGCGUUGUUGGGUAGGGGAGCGUUCUGUAAGCCUGCGAAGGUGUGCUGUGAGGCAUGCUGGAGGUAUCAGAAGUGCGAAUGCUGACAUAAGUAACGAUAAAGCGGGUGAAAAGCCCGCUCGCCGGAAGACCAAGGGUUCCUGUCCAACGUUAAUCGGGGCAGGGUGAGUCGACCCCUAAGGCGAGGCCGAAAGGCGUAGUCGAUGGGAAACAGGUUAAUAUUCCUGUACUUGGUGUUACUGCGAAGGGGGGACGGAGAAGGCUAUGUUGGCCGGGCGACGGUUGUCCCGGUUUAAGCGUGUAGGCUGGUUUUCCAGGCAAAUCCGGAAAAUCAAGGCUGAGGCGUGAUGACGAGGCACUACGGUGCUGAAGCAACAAAUGCCCUGCUUCCAGGAAAAGCCUCUAAGCAUCAGGUAACAUCAAAUCGUACCCCAAACCGACACAGGUGGUCAGGUAGAGAAUACCAAGGCGCUUGAGAGAACUCGGGUGAAGGAACUAGGCAAAAUGGUGCCGUAACUUCGGGAGAAGGCACGCUGAUAUGUAGGUGAAGUCCCUCGCGGAUGGAGCUGAAAUCAGUCGAAGAUACCAGCUGGCUGCAACUGUUUAUUAAAAACACAGCACUGUGCAAACACGAAAGUGGACGUAUACGGUGUGACGCCUGCCCGGUGCCGGAAGGUUAAUUGAUGGGGUUAGCCGCAAGGCGAAGCUCUUGAUCGAAGCCCCGGUAAACGGCGGCCGUAACUAUAACGGUCCUAAGGUAGCGAAAUUCCUUGUCGGGUAAGUUCCGACCUGCACGAAUGGCGUAAUGAUGGCCAGGCUGUCUCCACCCGAGACUCAGUGAAAUUGAACUCGCUGUGAAGAUGCAGUGUACCCGCGGCAAGACGGAAAGACCCCGUGAACCUUUACUAUAGCUUGACACUGAACAUUGAGCCUUGAUGUGUAGGAUAGGUGGGAGGCUUUGAAGUGUGGACGCCAGUCUGCAUGGAGCCGACCUUGAAAUACCACCCUUUAAUGUUUGAUGUUCUAACGUUGACCCGUAAUCCGGGUUGCGGACAGUGUCUGGUGGGUAGUUUGACUGGGGCGGUCUCCUCCUAAAGAGUAACGGAGGAGCACGAAGGUUGGCUAAUCCUGGUCGGACAUCAGGAGGUUAGUGCAAUGGCAUAAGCCAGCUUGACUGCGAGCGUGACGGCGCGAGCAGGUGCGAAAGCAGGUCAUAGUGAUCCGGUGGUUCUGAAUGGAAGGGCCAUCGCUCAACGGAUAAAAGGUACUCCGGGGAUAACAGGCUGAUACCGCCCAAGAGUUCAUAUCGACGGCGGUGUUUGGCACCUCGAUGUCGGCUCAUCACAUCCUGGGGCUGAAGUAGGUCCCAAGGGUAUGGCUGUUCGCCAUUUAAAGUGGUACGCGAGCUGGGUUUAGAACGUCGUGAGACAGUUCGGUCCCUAUCUGCCGUGGGCGCUGGAGAACUGAGGGGGGCUGCUCCUAGUACGAGAGGACCGGAGUGGACGCAUCACUGGUGUUCGGGUUGUCAUGCCAAUGGCACUGCCCGGUAGCUAAAUGCGGAAGAGAUAAGUGCUGAAAGCAUCUAAGCACGAAACUUGCC
Molecule: ribosomal RNA, 2773 nt
Filed under: Escherichia coli
Lineage: Bacteria; Pseudomonadati; Pseudomonadota; Gammaproteobacteria; Enterobacterales; Enterobacteriaceae
Description: partial 23S ribosomal RNA
Rfam family: Bacterial large subunit ribosomal RNA
Source: RNAcentral